RNAcentral lists this unclassified non-coding RNA (313 nucleotides) under plant metagenome. RNAcentral describes it as "partial contains 5.8S ribosomal RNA, internal transcribed spacer 2, and large subunit ribosomal RNA". The stretch from base 1 to 105 matches the Rfam family "5.8S ribosomal RNA", at positions 50 to 154 of the family's 154-position model. The record is from RNAcentral.
GAAAUGCGAUACGUAGUGUGAAUUGCAGAAUUCAGUGAAUCAUCGAAUCUUUGAACGCACAUUGCGCCCUUUGGUAUUCCAAAGGGCAUGCCUGUUCGAGCGUCAUUUGUACCCUCAAGCUUUGCUUGGUGUUGGGCGUUUUUUGUCUUUGGCUCGCCCAAAGACUCGCCUUAAAACGAUUGGCAGCCGGCCUACUGGUUUCGCAGCGCAGCACAUUUGUGCGCUUGCAAUCAGCAAAAGAGGACGGCAAUCCAUCAAGACUCCUUCUCACGUUUGACCUCGGAUCAGGUAGGGAUACCCGCUGAACUUAAGC